This 406-nucleotide ribosomal RNA is filed under the name uncultured bacterium. RNAcentral describes it as "partial 16S ribosomal RNA". It matches the Rfam family "Bacterial small subunit ribosomal RNA", at positions 28 to 525 of the family's 1533-position model. The record is from RNAcentral.
GACGAACGCUGGCGGCAGGCCUAACACAUGCAAGUCGAGCGGAGCGGCGGACGGGUGAGUAAUGCCUAGGAAUCUGCCUGGUAGUGGGGGAUAACGUCCGGAAACGGGCGCUAAUACCGCAUACUAUCAGAUGAGCCUAGGUCGGAUUAGCUAGUUGGUGGGGUAAAGGCCUACCAAGGCGACGAUCCGUAACUGGUCUGAGAUGAUGAUCAGGCACAGUGGAACUGAGACACGGUCCAGACUCCUACGGGAUGCAGCAGUGGGGAAGAUUGGAUAAUGGGCGAAAGCCUGAUCCAGCCAUGCCGUGUGUGUGAAGAAGGUCUUCGGAUUGUAAAGCACUUUAAGUUGGGAGGCGUUACCAACAGAAGAAGCACUGGCUAACUGCGUGCCAGCCGCCGCGGGAAAC